GCCUUGCACCACCAACUUUUUGUUACUGUUGGCCAGUUUGUCCUGGAGAGGGUGAUACCAAGAACUUUUACUACAGAGAACAAUCAGACCCAACAGAGAACAGUAAGUUUUGAUAUUUUACAACCUGCUAAAUACCAACAGGACGUUCACAGAACCACUGACUGACACAAUGGAAGCUGUUAAAGAUGACAAGAUAAAACAAACAGAGGACGACAGAAAAGCCACCAGAAUCAUAG
Molecule: non-coding RNA, 236 nt
Organism: Pelobates cultripes (western spadefoot toad)
Lineage: Eukaryota; Metazoa; Chordata; Amphibia; Anura; Pelobatidae
Source: the annotation of a GenBank genome assembly